This is a long non-coding RNA of Neofelis nebulosa (Clouded leopard), 2840 nucleotides long. RefSeq lists it as uncharacterized. The transcript has 3 exons. NCBI's taxonomy places the organism in Eukaryota, Metazoa, Chordata, Mammalia, Carnivora, Felidae. The record is from RefSeq and is a predicted model, not a curated record.
UCCUGGGCGAGAGGGGCGGCCGCCUUGAGCCCGCUCCCCAGAGGCCCGAGGAGAGGCCGAGCCGCCCGCGCCCCGCGCCCUUCCUGCCGGGGGCCCGCCCCGUCUGUCCCCGACGCCUGCGCAGCCCACCCCGCCUGCCCCAGACGCUGCCCCGCCGGCUCCCGUAAACCAGCCCCCAGGGGGUGUCCACGGUGCUGCCGCCUCUUCACUGGCAUUUCGGUGCCGGCGGUCACUGGCUGCUCCCAUGUGAUUCUCAAGCCUGAGCCCCUUCCAGCAGCAGGAAGGUGUGUGUAGGCGGGGGAAGAGAAAGCGAACCCCCAGGGAAAGGGGGCGUGGUUCGGCUGAGUUUUUCAGAGCUGGGGAGAGGGCAGGAGGUAGAUGCGGAGGAAAGGAGCACCUUUCUCAGUCUUCCCUUCAUUCUUUGAAUUUUACUGAGCACCUACUACGCGCUGUGAUAGAGGCUUCAGAACCCAGUAAGACAUGAACCGGCUCCCGAUGGGAGCGCAGUGUUGGGGGCUCCGGUUUGAAUCCUGGCUUCACCCCUCUCAAAGCUGUGGAAUCUGGGACCAAGGACCCGCUGUCUCUAGGUCACGAUGCCAUCACGAUGUAAUGGCAACACAUCUGGACAGGACAUUAUGGAACAAGAACACACAACUCUGCUUGGGCAAGGGCCAGAGGAGAGGCUCGGGAGGCUUGCCCGGGAAAGGUGAUGUCCUCUUGAGUGUCAGAGGGGUUGACCGUAGGAGAGGGGGGCACAAGACAUGCCUGCAGGAUAUUUCUCCAGGGUCCCCCCAGAUUUCACAGGCCGCAUCAGUGGGGUCAGGGAAGCACAGAACAUAGGCCUGCCUCUGCCCAUCUCACCGGCAAGCCCAGUGAGGCUGGGAGAGGGAAGCCUGUGUUUUGCAGAAAGGCUGAGCAUAGGACUCAGAAUGUGUGAACUUGGAAUCCAGCCUCUGUUCCUCCAUUUAUUCACAGCCCUGACUCUGGAACCAGGAAGUUACCCAGAGGCACAUUUGGGGUCAGCGGGAAGAACUCGAACAGGCAGAUUUGCCCAUGGUGGACAGGGCCAGCCUCGUGCAGUAAUGAGCUCCCUGUCACUGAAAGCUAGCAAGUAGAGGCUGGAGCACUGUUAUUAAAGAUGUGGCAGAGGCUGGGCAGGAUGGCCUCUGAGAUCUCCUGGCCCAGUGUCAGGCCUGGGCCUCAGGUGAGGCCUUGAUGAGCCGGAGCUCACUGUGGAGCCCCACGGUGGAUGUCGUGAUCACCGUGAACAUUUGCCUGGUGCUUCUCUGGGUUGCUAGGCUUUCACAUACGCCUUGGCUCAUCCCAUUUUUGCCCCCCCCCCCCCAGGGGUGUCCUCAGAACAGAGCAAGCAAACCCCCCCAUGCCACAACGCUCAGAGAAGCAAGCAAACAGCCAAGGAGGUUUCCUCUGGGCAAGAGGACAUGGGGUGAGGAUACUUCCGCUUUUCAUUUUUUAUCUCUCUGGAUUGUGGGAAAUGCUUACAAUGAGCUGUACAAAAUUACUUCCACAAUUUUUUUUGAAUGGCUAAAAAGAGGCAAUGGAAAAGGAUGGGAAAACAGUAUGGAGGUUCCUCAGAAAGUUAAAAACAGAACUACCCUACAACCCAGCAAUUGCACCACUAGGUAUUUACCCAAGGGAUAUGGGGGUGCUGAUUUGAAGGGGCACAUGCACCCCGAUGUUUAUAGCAGCGCUAUCAGUAAUAGCCAAGGUAUGGAAAGAGCCCAAGUGUCCAUCGACAGAUGAACAGAUAAAGAAGAUGUGGUAUAUAUAUACAAUGGAGCAUUACUCGGCAAUCAAAAAGAAUGAAAUCUUGCCAUUUGCAACUACGCGGAUGGACCUGGAGGGUAUGACGCUAAGCGAAAUUAGAGAAAGAUAAAUAUCAUAUGACUUCACUCAUAUGUGGAAUUUAAGAGACAAAACAGAUGAACAUUAGGGAAGGGAAACAAAAAUAAUAUAAAAACAGGGAGGGAGAUAAAACAGAAGAGACUCUUAAAUACAGAGGACAAACAGAGGGGUGCUGGAGGGGUUGUGGGUGGGGGGAUGGGCUACAUGGGUAAAGGGCAUUAAGGAACACACUUGUGGGGUGUUAUGUGCAGGGGAUGAAUCACUGGAACCUGCUGUUGAAAUCAUUAUUGAGCUAUAUGCUAACUAACUUGGAUGUAAAUUAAAAAAAUAAAUUAAUCGAUUAAUUAAUUAAAUUUAAAAAAUAAAAUAAACAUUGGGAAAGAGAAAGAAAAGUAUGGGCUCUUGUGCCAGAAAGAUAAUGGCCAUCUUAGGAGAGGUGUGGCCUUGAACAAGCACAGGGCCUCUCUCAGUCUCGGUUCCUCCCCCCGAAGCUGAAUGCCCACUUUUCAAGACUGUGUUUGGGGUGAGAUUCAGUAAUGAUACUACAGUCAUACUAAUUUCUUUCUAGUGCCUCUCGUGCCGAGUAUUUUCAUUUGCUUUACUCAUUUAAUCUCACCACCAUCCCGAGAGGUGGGAUUUUUGUCCCCGUCUCCAGACGAAAACUAAAGUUGAGAGGAGGGGUUAGACCAACAACCGAUGAAUGGCCAGACUUUGCCUAGAAACCGGGCCUCCUAAAUCCUACCUGGCGCUCAGACGCAGGAGUGAAGAUUUACAUCGAUUUGUGUGCACCUGCCUGAGUGCCAGGAGCGGCCAAGCCCAGGCAAAACUUUGAACCCCUACGAUGGUCCAGGCACUGCUCUAGAUGCUGGAGAUACGGAAAUGAGUCGCCAGACAAAAAUCCCCGUCCUCAUGGAGCUCACACUCCAGGAGGGGAGACACAACAAACAUAGUGGCCGCGUGUUGUUCAGUAUCAG